This 497-nucleotide ribosomal RNA is filed under the name uncultured bacterium. RNAcentral's name for it is "partial 16S ribosomal RNA". It matches the Rfam family "Bacterial small subunit ribosomal RNA", at positions 28 to 507 of the family's 1533-position model. The record is from RNAcentral.
GAUGAACGCUGGCGGCGUGCCUAAUACAUGCAAGUCGAGCGAACAGACGAGGAGCUUGCUCCUCUGACGUUAGCGGCGGACGGGUGAGUAACACGUGGAUAACCUACCUAUAAGACUGGGAUAACUUCGGGAAACCGGAGCUAAUACCGGAUAAUAUAUUGAACCGCAUGGUUCAAUAGUGAAAGACGGUUUUGCUGUCACUUAUAGAUGGAUCCGCGCCGCAUUAGCUAGUUGAUAAGGUAACGGCUUACCAAGGCAACGGUGCGUAGCCGACCUGAGAGGGUGAUCGGCCACACUGGAACUGAGACACGGUCCAGACUCCUACGGGAGGCAGCAGUAGGGAAUCUUCCGCAAUGGGCGAAAGCCUGACGGAGCAACGCCGCGUGAGUGAUGAAGGUCUUCGGAUCGUAAAACUCUGUUAUUAGGGAAGAACAAAUGUGUAAGUAACUAUGCACGUCUUGACGGUACCUAAUCAGAAAGCCACGGCUAACUACGUG